GACGAACGCUGGCGGCGUGCCUAAUACAUGCAAGUUGAGCGCUGAAGGUUGGUCCUUGUACCAACUGGAUGAGCAGCGAACGGGUGAGUAACGCGUGGGGAAUCUGCCUUUGAGCGGGGGACAACAUUUGGAAACGAAUGCUAAUACCGCAUAAAAACUUUAAACAAAAGUUUUAAGUUUGAAAGAUGCAAUUGCAUCACUCAAAGAUGAUCCCGCGUUGUAUUAGCUAGUUGGUGAGGUAAAGGCUCACCAAGGCGAUGAUACAUAGCCGACCUGGGAGGAUGAGCGGCCACAUUGGGACUGAGACACGGCCCAAACUCCUACGGGAGGCAGCAGUAGGGAAUCUUCGGCAAUGGACGAAAGUCUGACCGAGCAACGCCGCGUGAGUGAAGAAGGUUUUCGGAUCGUAAAACUCUGUUGGUAGAGAAGAGCGUUGGUGAGAGUGGAAAGCUCAUCAAGUGACGGUAACUUCCCAGAAAGGGACGGCUAACUACGUG
This 497-nucleotide ribosomal RNA is filed under the name uncultured bacterium. Its description in RNAcentral is "partial 16S ribosomal RNA". It matches the Rfam family "Bacterial small subunit ribosomal RNA", at positions 28 to 507 of the family's 1533-position model. The record is from RNAcentral.